Podarcis lilfordi (Lilford's wall lizard) is the source of this 80-nucleotide non-coding RNA. The record is from the annotation of a GenBank genome assembly. Lineage: Eukaryota; Metazoa; Chordata; Lepidosauria; Squamata; Lacertidae.
GGACAGAUGUACCACUGCACCAGCUGCAGUGCAUCUGCUUUGCAUGCAGAAGGGCGCGGGUUCAAUCCCUGCCAUCUCCA